UAAACUCUAUGGCCGAUCUCUAUGAGCGAGCCAAGAAGUAGGCCAAUCUUUAUGGGAGAGCCAGGAGCAAGAUAAAUUCUAUGGCCGAACUCUAUGGCCGAUCUCUAUAGGUGAACUAAGAAGUAGGCCGAACUCUACGAGAGAGCAAGGAGCAAGCUAAACUCUGUGGUCGAACUCUAUGACCGAUCUCUAUAGGCGAACUAGGAAGUAGGCCGAUCUUCACGAGAGAACCAAGAGCAGGCCAAACUCUAUGGCCGAUCUCUA
This 264-nucleotide unclassified non-coding RNA is filed under the name Hevea brasiliensis (rubber tree). Lineage: Eukaryota; Viridiplantae; Streptophyta; Magnoliopsida; Malpighiales; Euphorbiaceae. The record is from RNAcentral.